This 253-nucleotide ribosomal RNA is filed under the name uncultured bacterium. RNAcentral describes it as "partial 16S ribosomal RNA". It matches the Rfam family "Bacterial small subunit ribosomal RNA", at positions 524 to 776 of the family's 1533-position model. The record is from RNAcentral.
UACGAAGGUGGCUAGCGUUGUUCGGAAUUACUGGGCGUAAAGCGCGCGUAGGCGGUCAUGCAAGUCAGGGGUGAAAUCCCACAGCUUAACUGUGGAACUGCCUUUGAAACUGCAUGGCUAGAAGAUGAGAGGGGAUAGCGGAAUUCCUAAUGUAGAGGUGAAAUUCGUAGAUAUUAGGAGGAACACCGGUGGCGAAGGCGGCUAUCUGGCUCAUUCUUGACGCUCUGGCGCGAAAGCGUGGGGAUCAAACAGG